This 1645-nucleotide long non-coding RNA is filed under the name Malus domestica (apple). RNAcentral describes it as "long non-coding RNA (MDOM_LNC007974)". Lineage: Eukaryota; Viridiplantae; Streptophyta; Magnoliopsida; Rosales; Rosaceae. The record is from RNAcentral.
AUUGAGAUCUUGGAUUUCUAGAUGCUAUUUUCUGCGAUUUUGAUCCCUGCUAUGUUCCCUGGUAUGGAAGAACGUUUAGACCUAUGUGCAGCCCAAGUGCUUGACGAAUUGCCCAACUCAAAAUUGCAAAUCUGGGUUGCUCGAAGAUUGGGUAUCUGGGUGGCUUGUCGAUUGGAUGUCUGGAGUUCAGUGCUAUUUGACGAUCUGGUGAUGCUUGUGUGGUGAUUCAGGUGAAUUUGUUUCUAUUUCUUGAAUCUCGAUUCUAUAUGCUGCUUUUCUCUGAAGUCGUGGUAUGUGUUUGUUCUUGAUUUCCUGGUUUGUUUGAAGCAAAGAUUUGGGGGUUCUUGAUUUAUGGAUAGAAUUGUGAUAUGGUGAUGUCUGAAAGGAUCAUUCUUUCUGUAUCUUUUCUUGGAGUAUAAUUCUCUAAAAUUUGUGAAUAUGUUGGGAUUUAUAGUUUAUGGGUUUGAAGAAGAAAGUAGCAGUCUUUCUGUGGAUUUUUGGAGUGUCAUUCUCCUGAGUCAAAGUGUUUUCUGUGAAUCUUGGAGUGUCAUUCUCCUGAUUCGAAGUGUUCAGGUGCUAACUGAGGAGUUGUGCAAUAUGUCCCUUAUCACAGCCUAUAAUGUCGAGUCUAACCAACUCAGUUGUUAGCAUGAAUCUACAGUAAGUCCGGUUAUACGAUGAAGUUUGAAGAAGUUGUAAACGGUAAAUCCCACGAAGGGUAAUUCCGUGUUUUGAGUAGGUAAAUCCCACGAAGGGUAAUCCUACAUAGAUGUUGAUUUUCAGUUGUUGAAAUUGUGAAGGCCGAUGCCAUUGUUCGAAGUACUUGUUUUUUUUUUUUUGGUAAAAUCCACAAAGGGCGAUCCCGUGGUACUAUAGUUAAGGCCGAUGCCACACUAUAGUUUUGUUAAUUUUCUGUUUUAAAGGCCGAUGCCAAUGUUAAAUGAAGUUGAUGCCGGUAAAUCCCACGAAGGGUAAUCCCGUACGAAAUUGUUAUAACCGGCCUGAGGGUGUGUUACAACUUUAUAAGAGGCUGUUUUUCGAUUGAAGCUCCUGCGAGAGGCAGAGGAAUAUUGGAUGUUUUGGAUGGGAAGAUUGUAUCUACAAAAGGUGUAAAUUUCUAUCUGGUUUGCAGUGAAGAUCCUAUUAAAAGGCAGAGGAAUAUUAGACUUUUGGAUGUGCUUCCUACUGAGCUUGCAGAUUGAGUUUGUUGCAGUGAGUCAGUGAAUAUAUUUGGGGCAGAUUGAUGUUCACUGCUGCUCUGCAGCUAUAACAAACUCGUUAUUCAGAACAGGUUCGAGAUCAUUUCCAUAUUUGCAGAAUCAAGGUUGCAGUUGGUUCAAGUUGUUCUGUUUUUCUGGGUUUCCUAACAGUGAUUGCAGUUGUUCUUCCAAUCUCAAACUGGGUUACCCCAGUUGAGAUUGAGGGGGAGUAUUAAGGGUAAAAAUGUAAUACGUUAGUAAUAUAGUUAGGUAGUUAGUAUUUGAUUAAAGUGGUUAGGAUUUCUAUAUAAACUGUUGUCUCAUAGUUGUAAAUAUUCAUUCAAUCAAUACAAUUCCUAUUCUCUCUAAACACUCUCUCUAGAAUCUCUCUUGUUUCUCUCUGCCUUCUUCCUCUUUCUCUGUACAAAUCCUUCAUCUUUGCAAUG